This is a non-coding RNA of Xyrichtys novacula (pearly razorfish), 16391 nucleotides long. The record is from the annotation of a GenBank genome assembly. Lineage: Eukaryota; Metazoa; Chordata; Actinopteri; Labriformes; Labridae.
GGAGAGCGACGCAGUGCAGCAUGGGUACUGUAGUCAGGUCGAUGAAAGGGCGGAGCUGAUGUGAGCAGGUGCACCACCUUGUCAGAAAAAAAAGUACUCCUUUGGGGUUACUUUUUACUUAGCUUAUACGGUGGCCGAGAACUGCCACUGCUGCAAAGAAAAAAGAAUGCAAAAAAAGAAGGCACAAUGGAAGUUACUGAUGGAAAAAAAAGAAACCGAAGCCUGCUGCAAAUAAAAGAAGAAACGGUGCAGAUAAAAAAAAAAAAGAAGCCACAACAGAAGUUAAUAUCGAAAAAAGUGGAAGGGUUAUUGUUUAAUUUUGCUUCGUGUGCUUUUAAUGUGUCAUUUGGUUAGGCCACGUUGUGCCUGAGUUAAUAUGAAGUUGAACUGGAGGAUGCUGGUGUAGUGUUAGCUUCAGUUCACCUUCGUAUCAACUCAGGUGUUACAGGCCUAACCAAAUGACACAUUGAAAAGCACACAAAGUGAAAUUAAAUGAUAACCUUUCCACUUCUUUGCUCAUCUUCUCUUCGUCAUCUUCUGUGCCCAGAUCGUAAAACACCGGUGCAUCAUCAUUCUUGGUCCCCGGCAGCUCACGUCCAUUGUGGCUUUUUUUCUUUUGCAUCCUUUUAUUUUCGCAGUAAGUAACUUUUUUCCAUCACCACUUUUUUUUUGUGUGUCGUUAACUUCCAUUGUGGCUUUUUUUUCCCAUCUGCACAGUUUCUCUUUUUAUUUGCAGCAGGCUUCAUUUUUUUUUUCUUUUUCUUUUGCAUCAGUAACUUCCGUUGUGACUUCUUUUUUUGCAUUCUUUUUUUAUUUGCAGCAGUGGCGGUUCUCGGCCACCAUAAACUUAACCCAAUUGAUAAUAAAAAAAAAGGAACCACAUGUUUGUUUUUAUUUUUGCCUCCAUUCUUGUUUUAAUGUGUCUAAUUUAUGUGUUAUACUGACUUUUAUAUUUAUUGUUGAAUUUUGGACAGGUGUUAUAAACUGCCUUUGUGUGGCACCAAUAAUCAUGAUCCAUACUGGUCCCAGAACAAAAUGAAGAAAGAUCAAGAAAGUAAAUGAAACUUUUAUCAGCAGGUGAACUAUAAUGCAGCAGUUUAAUUAGGCCAUACUGUUGGAAAACAACAUUAAUUAACAUAGGACUACUAUCACAUGGACUACCAAGCUUAAUCAUAGCAUUUUGUGCCUCCAAUUUUCUUUUAAACCAGUUCAAAUUUAGUGCUUUCCUACACUAUGCCACUCUGUGGAUUAUCAUUAAAAACUCAUAUCAUGUACUUCAAAUGACCUGCCACUUUUGGCAAAUGUCAUUUAAAUUGAAGUUAAUAUUAUCUGAUGAUAAUUCAAGUGGUUUCAUCUUAGAAAAUGUUUUACAUGGAUGCAGGAUCAUUAUCUUUGGAUUGAAAGGUAAUUUGAAAUGGAUCACAAAAUUUUUAAUCCAUAAAAUUAGAAGAAUAGGGGUUAUGUUACAGUCAUUGAAAUGAUGUAGACCCAGAUUAGUUUCUAAUUAAUAUUCCAGAUUAUUAUUUUAAUUUAUUUCCCCCACCAUGAUAACUUUAUGACAGUGAUUUUUGUGCAAAAGCCUGUUUAACUUAAACUCCAGCUAUAAUCAUCAUCAUUUAACCACACUGGACUUUGUUGUUCCUUCACUGCCACAAGUUUAGGCAUGAUGACCAUUCCAAUUUUUUCAACUUACAAAAAAGAGAGUUAGUUUUAAUCAUUUAUUUGCUUCAUGAUAACUUUUAAAACAUUUCUACAAAUAUUUUUUUACAGUGUUGAGGGUAACUGAGCAGUAGCGGUUUGAGUUGUAAGCUUCCUACAUAACAACCAGAGGUAGAGAAUAGCAAAUGUAGGACACAGAACAACAUCAGCAGCAGCGUUUUCUCCUGUCCAGAAAAAGACAAACUGUUUCACAUUUCUUAGGAAAGGAAUAUUCAGGAGCUAAAAACAGGAUAAGCACAAGGGACUCGAAUCAAAAGGGAUGCCAGAAAGAAGAAAGAAAUUGUGUUACAAUUUACUUUUUACUACUUUAGUAUACUGAGUUCAAAAUGUGAAUGGGGGUAAUGUAUUUUUAAAACCCUGUCAGCUGACAGUCACUGGAAUAAAAACAACUCUCUGGUAGAUCUGUCACGGGAGCCUAAUAUGAAAAAGUUUGUGCAGUUCUGGCUGCCUGAGUGAGUCUGCAGGCCUAUUUGCAUCCUGUAAACCUGUCCCAGUAAACUAAUUGGCGUUACUAAUAGAUGGCUGGAUGAACCCCAGCCCUGUAUGGUAAUGAAUUCACACGAUCUGGUGUCAUAGCUGAAGAAAUUGUUAAAAUGCAAAUGAAUGAUGACCCUGUUAUGUGUCUUUCAAUUUAGGCAUCCACAUUACCAGUGCAUGACAAUGAGCCCCUUGUUCAUGCACAAAAAUACAAUCAGGCCUCCGGUGCAGGAACAGGUCAACAUGAGGCCUGGACAGAGAACAGCUGAUUUAAGGAGAGGCCUUUUAAAAUGAGCUAAUUUGAACAAUAUUUUUAGAAGUUCAACCUUAUUUUGAUUUUAUAACUAUAAACUUACAUAAUAUAAUUGUUCAUUUCACUGUCAGACAGUCUCUUGUGUAGGAAAGUGUGUAAAAAUGCACUCUGGAUAGCCUUGCAUGCAUUGUAGUUCCUCAUGUUUUGGUGUGUAAAUGACUUUUCUACAAAAUUUUCUAAACUUCUUCACCACUUACGUAUUCCCUGUCUGAUAAGUCUCUUUUGCCACUAACAGAUGUAAAAAUACAGCACUGUCCUUGCAUGUAAACCAAUUGAGCCUGAUGUUUAUGAUAAUCUGUAACAUUUUUUCAUCCUCCAAAAAGACAAAGAUUGUGCUUUAAGAAAAAGAAAGAGUUUUCCUGGCAGGGCUUUCCACAACUGGACAGCAAAUUUAUCCCAAAAUUAUAGUUCUUUUUCAAACUUGAAUAUAGAGGAAAAUUAUCACAUUGUCGCACGUCAUCCGACAGACUUAGAGGAAAUCAGUCCAAAUGUCUUCAGAGUUAUGUAUUUAUUUUCUCAAUAAGAACAACAGUUGUAAUACAGUUUAGUUUCAUUUCCAACACUGUUUUUAGGGCACACCCUAAAGAAACUUGCCGAAGAGUCAUAUUCCUGAGCAAAUAAAGCUUUCUGUGUGAGUGAUUUUCCACUUUCUGCCUCCGGAGGUCGCUGUAGAUCCCAACUUAUACACCUUCAUUCUUUUUUCAAUUCUGUCCAAAAAAGCCAUACUUUACAGAUAAGAUCACACAGUGAAAACAUCAAAGAAGUGCUGAUGGACAGGGCAGAGACUGAAGUACUUUGUCAUUUCGUGCUUUAAUGAAGUGCUGCGUAUUUGGAUGGAAAAAAUAAAUAUUGUGUAUAUUGAAGUAAAGCAAGACAAUCAAGCAUGAAUUAGUAGGCAGUCUUAACGGUUCAUGCAAGUUCAUGUCAAGAAAAAAAAUCUGUUGAAAUCUACCAGAAAGAUCGAUUCAAGGAAAAGCCUUAGGUAACAAUUCAGACUGUUUAACUGAGUACUUCAGAGAUUCUGUCUUUGUUUGACAGUGUUAACUAUAUUCAGCUUUUCAUCAGGGUUUUAUAUUUAAAGGUGUUCAACACAGACAGCUGUUUGCAAGUAAAAAAGAAUGAUGAAGAUGAUCCUUAUCUGUACCCCAUGUGAUGCAGCCUAAAUGGCAUCUCAGCAUGCUUUCUCAGUGAUUUACUUUUUGAAAUCAUGUUAAAUUGAGCAUCCAAAAAACAGCUUAAUGUCAUCUUCUCUCCUUCUCUCCUUAAUUUUGUCUAAGAAUCAUUUGUUAAUAUCUCUUGAGCUUUUUCUUUACUUCCACUUUUCCAUUUCUUUCUGUUGACAGAGAAAUAUCCUUACAUCAGUUGCAAGUUUUCUGUGAAUUUGACUAGCAAUUUUACUGGUAAAUCUGGGGAUAAAGAUGUUUAAGCUCAUUUAAAUUCACAGUAAAUUCUGUUUUUAGCGUUUAAAGCACUAGGGGUCCAAAAUAAUAAUUUAAACCCAUAAGCAGUAGCUCAAAGGGGAUACAGAAAAGGCUAGAUUCGGGGUAAGUGCCUCACACACAUGACAUUUUAUUAGGCAACUCUUGCUGAUUUGAGGGAGGACCAUAAAGUAAAACUGUUUGUAGUAAAGUUUUAAUAAGAAUUUAAAGUGAACAUGUUAAUUUAUGACACAGAGAGUCUUCUUAAAAGUUUCAGUUUCUCUAUCAUUGGCAACAUGUUUUGCAAUAAGUGGGAAAUGUAAAUGUGUUUUGGACCUUGGCCUUUUUACCUUGGAACACUGGCAGGAAAUGAAAAAAAAAACAUAUUGUAAACAAAUGAUAGGCAGAGCAAAAUUUAUUCAAGCAAAGUGUGGUAAUAUUUUAACUAAGUGUCUGAUUUUGGUUUUAAUAAUAAUAAAAUGUCAUUAGAAUAAAUAUAAAAUUGACUCAAAACAAGCUCCAAACUUCCAGUGAAUAAACCUUAAUAAUUAAGAAACCUAAGACCACUUUCAUCCAUCUAUUUAUCAAUGAAAACAUCAUUCCAUUCAACCAUGCAUCCAUCCAUCCAUUAAAACAUCAAUUCAUUCUUCCUUCCAUCCAUCCAUUCAUCCAUCGAUCCAUCCAUCCAUGAAAAUACUAAUCCAUUCAUCAAUCUAUCUAUCCAUCCAUCCAUCGAUGAAAACAUCCAUCCAUCCAUCCAUGAAAAUACUUAUCCAUCCAUCCAUCCAUGAAAAUACUUAUCCAUUCAUCAAUCUAUCUAUCCAUCCAUCCAUGAAAACAUCCAUCUAUCCAUCCAUGAAAAUACUAAUCCAUUCAUCAAUCCAUCCAUCCAUGAAAACAUCCAUCCAUCCAUCCAUCCAUCCACGAAAAUACUAAUCCAUUUAUCAAUCUAUCCAUCCAUCUAUAAAAGCAUCCAUCCAUCCAUCCAUCCAUCGAAGAAAACAUCAAUCUGUUCAUCCAGCCAUUCAUCUAUGAAAACAUAAAUCUAUUCACUUUUUUAUACACUCUUACAUGAAAACAUUAAUUUUUUUAUCCAUUUAUCUUUUAUCUUUAAUUUAUCUUUUUACCUACCCAUCAGUGAAAGUUUCAAUUCAUCCAUUCAACCGUAAAUUUAUUCAUUCUUUUAUUAUCCUUUUUUCCAAAAAUCACCCAUCCACAUCUCCAUCCAUUUUUCAUCCCUCCAUACAAUCAUCCAUAUCAGUCCAUCAACUGGCCUUUGAUCCAUCCAUCCAUCAAUCCAUCCAGACAAUAUUGUAAAAAAAAUCUUCCUAUCUACCUACCAAGCUUUCCCUCUUUUCAUCCAUGUGUUUUCCCUUCCAUCCAUUCAUCUAUCCAUCCGUCCAUCUUUCAGUCCAAGAACCUCAACAUCAUGCAGCUGCAAGCAUUUUCCACAGUGUGUCCAACAGUUCCCCUCAUCAUUUCUGUAAUAGAGGCGAUGCAGGAGGGGAGACACUCUGGGAGACUCUGGCCGGCUGACAGAGUGAGAGGAAAGAAAGGAGGGGGGAGGCAGACAGAUGUUUGAAUCUCAGCCUGGGACCUGAUGAGAUCCAACCAUCCUCCAAGGCUUAGACAAUAACCGAGAGAAGGAAGCAAUGUCUAUUAGGACAAUUGGCUGCCCUCUUUCCUUUCUGUAUCCAAGACAGCUUGAUCAUCCUUUUUUUUCUCCUCCCAGAGGUGAGCAGUAUCUCCAAACCCAUGAUAGGUUUUAACAUCCUGAACAAAGCCUUCAAUAAGGGGGAUAGAGGUCAAUCUGUUUGAGGUGAAAUAAUGGCCAACAUAUAAUAUUUUGACGCCAGAUAGAAGACACAAAACCUCAUAGAAAAAUUUUUGGGGAUUUCAUUUAAAAAGUGCUUUUCUUGGCCUAAAAAUCAGAUCUUUUAGAUCAUAUUUCAGGAUUACAACAUGAAAUUGUUGCUUGAAGAUUCUUAAUUUGGAAAAUAGGGCUAAAAAAUACUAAGGCAGAUACUCAGUUUUUCUAUUCUAUCAUAUUUCAAUUCAAAGUACAGACUUAACGCACUUGUACCUGUCAAACAAGGCCAUAAACUUUACUUAGAGACUGACAAUGUGACAACUCCCCAAAAGUUGUGAAAAACACACCUGGUGGUGACUGGCUUCAGUUAAGGUCAUGUAAAUAACAAUUAAAAACUUUGGUCCAAAUGUGUUAUUUUGUUAUAGAGUGUAUUCUUAUUACGCUGACUUUGGGUCUGUAUCCACUAAAAGUGUCCUCCACACCACCAGGAACCUCUAUAAUUUCUGUAGGACUCUCAUCAGCGCAAACUGUUGCAGGAUUAGUUUUCCUCCUGACUCAAGAGUCAGUUACUGUAAGUUGUUCAUGCAUCGCAGACUGCGCUGACUUCAGAAAUCCUCUGUGUCUUCAAUGUAUGUUUAUCAUGUGCUUUGAUUAGUGGAGAGGUUGCGAAGUCAAAAUCAACUCCACCUGCUGAUACCCACUCCAGCACCAAAAACAUUUGCAGCAUUUGGUUUCACUACAUGGUAGGAGAAGGUGGACACAUGUUACCCUCACAAAGUCAAUGGAUAAAACCAGUACAGCUCUCUGUUCCUUACACUCUCCAAAAGAAAAAAAAAUCAAGUCUUUUGUUUUUCCAACUGAGGGUGGGAGGAAGUUGGUCAUUACAGUUUAAUAAUCUGAUAAUCUGGCCCAGUGUGGCUGCUGUUGUAGUCUGGAAUGCAGCCAUUUCGACUGAGUGUAAAAUAUUCAUGAGCAUCCAAUGGAAGCCCAUCUGACUGGCUGGGGAACAGCUGCUGGGUCUCUGUGCCUCUAGAGGUGCAGCAUCUGUCCAUUUGAAGGGAGUGAAUAUGUGUUUGUGUAAGUGUGUAAAAAGUGUGUGUCUCCAAGUGUGUGUGUCUGCCUUUCUAGACAAGUGAGUGUGUAUGAGAGCCCACACUCUGAUCUAUGUGUGUGCGUGUCUCAUGGGGACCAGACAUCAGGAGGAACAACUGUGUAUUUAACUUGCUUCUCUCCAGAUGGUGGCGGAUCAUUUUAGAAAUGAUCAAAAAGCUAGUCUCAAUUUUAUCAGGAUAUGUGCUUGUCAAUCAAAUAUCACUUUCGCUCGUACACAGGAGGAGAGCAGCAUGUGUGCAGUCGACUCUGCUGCGUGUUUAAGUGAAGAUGUCUUGUACAUCUCAAGUCUCUGCCUUUCUAUAUGCAACUGUUGUGUCUCACUAUCAGCACAUCUCAGUCUCACAGUAUGUGUGUGUGUGUACGUGUGUGUGUGUGUGUGUGGGCUGUUCGCACCCGUGCGUGUGAAGCUCACAGAGAGCUGUGCAGUUCUGGCGACGGCUGUAUGAUGGACAUCUGGAAGCCAAAUUGGUUAAUGGCGCCUCCAAGCCAACAGCCAGCCGGCCGUCCCUCCACCGAGCUAAGUGUGUGUGUGCCUGGAAGUGUGUGUGUAUUGCAGGGGGUGGGCUAAAGAAAUGGAGGGGGGGUUCUACAUCUGGCCAGUUGUCCGACCACAGACAAACAUCCCUGUUGAGCAUUUAAGGGCUUUUAUCCUCCAAUUUCUUUUCAUUAUUAUUAUUUUUAAUUUUUUGUUUGUUUUGUCAAACUUCUUUUUCUUCAUUAUCACAGAAAAAAGAAACAAACAAACAAAAAAAACAGUUUUAUUUUUGGUUCCCACAUCACAAAAAUGUUGCAUGAUGCAGCUUUAUAUUUGGGUGCUUUUUCCUGUAAGAAAUGUCUAUGUCUGUACAUAGGAACUGCACACAGCAGCUUCAAAAUAUUUUUUUUCUGCUGGGCAAACUUGGUCGCCUCUCGUAUUUUCCCAAAUGUACAAUCUUAUAUUUGAGCAACAGGAAUUCACCUGAACUCUUGUAGAGAAAGCAGCAGUGGAAGGAGUAGGCAGUAAGUAGGAUCUAAUGUUUUGGAUCGCCGAAAAUCGCCUUCAGGCAAGGAGUUCACAGCUGUGGAGAACGGACUGGUAAUGCUCGGUCACCUCUUGUGACUGGUCAAAAUUUAGGAAACCACAAGUAAGGCCCAGCUAGAGGACCUCAGGCUGCAGUCAGGCUCAUAGAGAGUUAUCAGUUCACAGCUCAAAGAAAAUGUUUGAGUUAAAAGUGAUUGCUAACUUGUGGGUGUCUUUGUGAAUAUUAUAAGGUAGGGAACCCAGGCUGAAGGACGGAUUAUAAUGUAGAUUUAGAGUCAUUCAGCAGUAGAAAAUUUUAGGACAUCUUAUUCUAGACAAUGUACAUCCCUUCACUGAAUUUGAACCCAGCACCUUUUCACUCAACAUCACAGGAUGUUUGACAAUGUGCACCUUUUCGGUCAUGUCACUUCAAUAUUUGGUAACGCUGCAUUAGAGGCCGUCUCAGAUUUUAGUUUGAAGAAAGGAUUACGUGUCCAUCCAAUGAGGGAAGUCCUAAGCCUCCAAAGCGUCCAAGCUGGGAUUCGAACCCAAAACCAUUUUGUUCCGAGGUAGCAGGGCCAAGCAUCACACCACAGGCCUGCUUGUUAAUAUUUACCUAUAAAGUUAUUUCUGUUUUAAUUUUCUAUUGCCUUGUUUCAAAAGCUUAAUAAAGACUUCAGUGUGAGAAGCGCAUUCCAUCCCUGCUUAACAUGGAAAGUUUGUGUUCAGGAUUUGAACCCUGAACUAUUCCAAUCAAAGGUGUUUGCUCACAGCAUGGGUCGGUCGUUUUAUCUCAAGUCUUUUCAUUUCACUGUUUUAUUACAAUGUUUUCAAAGCUGUGUUUAGAGUGAGUGUGGCAAAAGCAUUUAAUUCCUGCUUUGUAUGACAAACAAGGUCAUUUCUACCUUUGAGGGGUCAAUCAUGGUCUCCCUCAGGUGGUUUAAAGUUUGCAAACUGAAUUUUGUUAGCGGCAGUCCUGACAGUCAACUUACAUGACCAAGAUCUGCUGCUGGUUUGUGACAAAGAAUCAUAUCAGCACCUACUGUUUGGAAAUUACAAGAACAGAAGACCUGAAUCAUUUGCAUUUCUUAAAAUUACACUUCAAGAAAAAACUCCAGACCUUAGAGAUAGCUUCUCUAGUUACAGCUGCUGGAUCUAUCCAGGACGAAUAAACAUACAAACAAAGAGAGUAAGAAGGGAAAGGGAGAAUAGGAAACACUAACAUGGACAGAUCUUUAAAUAAAUACAGCCACAGCAGAUGCAUAACCGCCAUAGUCCAAGCCAAGACUGCACAAACAGCCGUGUGAUCUCUUCAAAUCUUUAUUGUGAGAUAUCAGAGAUCUUGUUGAAAUAAAAAGCGUCACUGUAGCCUCUGUUCUGUGUGUCUGUCUCUCUGUCCGCUUGUCUGUCACUGCAGUCCAGAUGUCAGAGGAACCAGCCAACAGCUGUGACAGGAAAUGAGCCCCCAGGCAGUGAAAAGGCCAGUACACUUCCACACGAAACAAAGCCAAAUAUGCACACACACAUGCGCACACACACACACACACACACACACACACACACACACACACACACACACACACACACACACACACACACACACACACACCACUGUGCGAUUCUGAGCAUCUCAAUGACCAUGUUCCUCUAAGAUUCUCCAUGGGUGUAUAAAUAUCAGUAAAACACAAAACAAGGUAUUGUGUGACAGUAACAGUAUUUGUGUGUUCUCAUUGUUGGAUUCAUCAUUUUUAAGUCAAAAUGUGUGUAUAUGGGUGAUAUUAUGCCAGCCUGCCACAUCGCCAGCCCCCGAGCCAGCGGGAACAUUUGCCUUGUGGCUUCAAUUCCCAGGAAUCCCUAACCUGCGCCAGCUGUUGAGAACAUGUUACCUGUGCCAACAAUGUGCCGCCUCUGCCCACCACAUCAGCUGCCGCUCUGUCUCCAUCUGGGUGCAAAAUUGGAUUUUUGUGCAUGUUGUUGUUUGUCAGUGGCUUACUGUAUCUUUAACUCUCGCCACAUCUGUAUUUGUACUCACAUCUGCCUCUCUCAUGUGCAGAGUGUAACUGUGUUUAUGCACGUAUUGAUGUUCCUGAUGUUGUCUGCUCUGCAUGUCUAUGUGUAUGUGUAAACUCUGUGUGAGUAUGUGUGUCUCCAUCUGUGUGUGCGCCGGGCCUCCCUUGCCUGCAUCUGGAGCGCCAUUGAAGAGGCUAUCCAACAAGCCUGCCAAACAGCCCAGAUGUUAGUUCUGUAAGCCUCGGGCUAAAUGGGGGGGAGCCAUACUCUCUCUAUACAGGGAUAGUAAAUUACAACCUUUUUUCAAUUACAACCUUGUUUUUAAUACUUCCUAUGCUGAUCUAUCUAUCUAUCUAUCUAUCUAUCUAUCUAUCUAUCUAUCUAUCUAUCUAUCUAUCUAUCUAUCUAUCCAUCUAUCUACAAUAAUAAAUACAUGUAUACAAAUGAGCUUUUAACGUGUCUUACUCAGUCAGUACAUUAACAUGCAUAGCCAAGUCGAACUACAAUUAUAGUUCAACUAGGCGAUUUUUAAAUGGACCACUGUUCUUAUACCAGUUUACAAAGACAAAAUUAAAAUACUGAGACAAAAGUGUCUUCUGCAGCUAUGAUAAGUGCGGACAUGCCUCCUUUCAGCUUGCUACUGUCAGGUUGUCUUCUGGCUGACAUAUCACGUAUUGGACAGUCUUUUUAAAGUCAUUUCUUUGUUUGUCAAGGUGUUGUUUACUACCUGCCUUCCUUGCAAGAAAUCCAUAGAAAUCCAAUUCAAUUUCUGGUUUUAAGUGCGUGAACACUUGAGCAUGCGCAGAACGAAUCGUUACCCGGGUGUAUUUGUCCAACAAUGAGAAGUUAGAUUUUGUGUGAUUUCAGUCAGAUUAAUGUUUUCCAGUUUUUGUUGUUAUCUUCUUUUGUUUAAGAUUCAUGUCAAGUAUUUGACUCUUAAGAAGCUAAAUGCUCCAACGUGAUCGACCAGCUAGGUCCUAACUGUGUAGGGUGCUAUCUGGUGCUGAACAGAUUGGUAUAAAGGGCUUUUAACUCGUUCAUGAAACUGAACCAAAAUGGUGAACCAAAACAGUGAGCUGACAGACAGAUACUGAGCACAACUGGAUGAUAAAUGUCAGUUGGUUUCUUGCUACAAGUCACUCUUUUUGCACUAAAAAACUCAUUUGAGUUAUUUUCAUAAUUUCAAGCACUCCUGCUUUAAGGUAGGAACUCAUUUAAAUCACAUUAAACUUUCCCUGAACUAAGCGAAUAUCUUUGAAUUUUCAGAAGCAGAAAGCACAGGUGAAUGCCGUUCUACAGUUACUGGAAAGAAAACAUUAUCACAAAUCAAUUUUGGUGACUGUUAUUGAGCAAUGAAUUUACUUUUGUAAAUGUAUUACUGUACAGUAAGCCUUGCAUGUCAACAUCUUGUAUUUUUAUACAAAUAAUCACCAACGUCCUCUGUCGCGGUGGAAUAGAUAAAAUGAUAAAGUAGGUUAUGUUACAGCUAUCUCCUGUCCUUUUUGUAAACAUUAAAGAUGUUUUUCCUGAUAACCUUUAGCAGAGACCCCUGAAAACAUGCUCUCCGUAAACAGGAGAGCAGUUGGGAGAUAAAAACAAAACACGCUCAUUCACCAUCAAACAGUCAGACACAAUUAGCCUGAUCAUCUGGACGGAUGUAGCUGUGAUGUUGGGGCAGUUUUGGCUGUCCAUGUGUGUGUUUGUGGUGUGUGUGUUUGUGUGUACCAUAGUGACCACAGAGGUGGCAUCUGCCAGAGCGGCUUUAGCUCUGUUUGUGAGAUCCAUGUGUGUGGACUUCCACAGAGCUUAAAGAACGUCCGCUUUUCCCCCCAUAUGGUGAGCUGUCACAGGGGUGACACUGUGCUGCCCUCCCCUAUGUGAGACAGCCUUCAUACUCACUGAGUAAACAACAACUGGACAUGGGGUGAUGCUGUUGUAGUUGUUGGAAUAUCAUCAUUUAUUCCUCUCUUAAACCUGUGAGGAAAGAUUACACACGUCAUCAGAAAAUCAGCUUCUACGGUCAUAUGUCAGUAUUUAUGUCUCAGUGAUACCCAAAAUCUGUUGAUGGUUUUUGUAAAACACUCCUCUGUCAACAAAUUCAAUCCCACAGAGCUUUGCAAAACAGAUUAGACUGCUCGUUUUACAGAGGUCUAAUUUGUCUAACCAUUCGGUAUCAAAUGAUACAAACUGAUUCAGUUUGAAGGCUUUAGCAAUAACGUCCUUUUAUAGUCACUGGAAUGAAAAGAAAAAAUGUGAAAGGAGAGAAAAAAGUAAUCUCUGUAAAUUUACUGAAUCAGCCAUACUUUCUCUGAGUCUGCACCGACAACUGUCUAUCAAACACAGCUCACGACACAUUUGGGAAAUGCAAAUUGCUGAAAGAAGAACAUGAGCAAGAGACGUCUCCUCCCACGACAGAUAUCUGUCCCUUUCUCUUCCUGCACACAGAUGUUACACAGCAGUUUGUUAUGAGAGGGAGUCGACGACAACUCUUUCUGUGUCUCCCUGAGGAGCGGGUAGCCUGGGGAGAAUCACAUUUACACAUUAAGUGUUAAUGUGUCUCUGUGAGCGAGUGUGUGUGUGAAGACAAAAGGGAGGAGGAGACUGAGAGAGAGAGAUGUGUCUUACAAAGGCAGUAAAGGGGGCGCAGACCAGAAAUAGGAAGUGACAGGACUGGAAACCAGGGGCCCUCAGGGGCUAUUGGAGGCUUUUGAGGUGUGUGUGUGUGUGUGUGUGUGUGUGCAUGUGUGUCGGAGGGGGUUACUGCUGCUCUAUCCUCUGGCUGUGCUCAUACUGUGUGUGUUUUUGGUGUUAAUCUCACCCAGUUGUUGGAAAGUCAAACACAGCCUGUGCACCCAGAUGUUGACAGAUGUGCUGUGCACAAUCUAACUUCCUCUUAAACUCACACUCACAGUCACACACAAACACAAACACAGUAAGAGAUCAUGAAAAUCUCCUUCCAGCCCUCCUCUCUAGAGACAGUCUUCUUGGCUUGUGUGUUAGAGAUUUGACAAAUACUACAGUAUUUCCAAAUACUGCCUGCCAAGUGGUGAGCUGCUGUGGUCCCAGGAGGGCCAUAUCCGCUGUGCUGUCCCAGAUGUUCUUUUAAUAACGAAAACAAACAAAAUUUCACUCAUCCAGAUGUGUUUACUUCAUAUGAUGUGAUCUCAGAGAGGUGGAGAGUCGAAUGACAGAUAGACAAACAGCUGGAGCCGUCAGUAUAACUGUAACUAAUGCAGCUCUCCCUAGUGGCCUGGAGUGGUGCUUGCACACAUGCAGCUGUGCACAUGCAGGGAGGAUGUGGGAUACUGGGAGUGUUGGGACAUUUAGAUGUCAUCUGUCACUGGUUGAGCUGGUGCUGAUGUUUGAGUGUUUCAGCUGUUAUUUUUCAUCCUGUCACAUCCUGUUUGUCCUGCCCUGUCAAUGAGUGAGUUUAACAAACAGCUUUAUCCUGCACUUGUAUUUAUUAUGAUUUUUUUUCUUGAAUGUUAUAAGGUUAAUCUAUUCAUAUUAUUCAGUUGGUCUAUUGUUUCUUUCUUUUGAAGGUUUUUUAAAAUUCAUUUCUAAAUGAUAAGCACUGCAUUAAUAAGAUUAAUUUGCAGCUCAAGAAAAACAUCUAUGAUCAUUACUCAUUUCCUAUAAUCACCAUAUUAAUGGACUGCAGACGCGGUAGUUCUUUUGCCUUAGUGUCUCGGUCUGAUUGCAUUUCUAAGUGGAAAUUAUCAUAAGUGUUCCUCCUUGAGCUGCGCACCCCCGCUGCAGUCAAUGGACUCGCCCAUAGGACUCCGUACAAACAAGCGGCUGCUGAAAGAGAGUGGGUGAGUCUCUUUGCUAAAGAAAUUCAGCAAAGUUGAAAAGAUGUUUGGUGGCUAGUGCUAUGGCUGGGACCCCAUAUGAACUGUUGAUGAAGUUAGGUGCUGUUCUGAGCGUUAUUUGUGGCUAUAGAGUGGCGUUUUGGUUGAGCGCGUGGCUCUCUAUAUUGCCAUCGUGAGGUUUUUCAAGGAUACUUAGAAAACGUACAGUAUUUACAGCCUCACUUUUGAUCACUUCAGACAAGCAAGUCAUCAGAUGAAACACACCUUCAAACAAACAGACCCCUACUGCGCUGGGCUUCAGUCUAACCACCCCAACACACAGCCAAAACAAAGAGCACAUCCACUUCAUGUUACUGUUAACAUCAAACUCAGAAGGGAGGUAACACAAGUUUACCUGAUAGCUGUGCAACAAUUCACUUUAAACACUGAUAGCUGCUUUGACAGGAGGUGAUGCUCUUUGGUUGGUGUGUUUGCUGUGGCUCUGCUCUUAAGUAUCAAGAAUUCAUUAUUUGUUGUUGUUUUUGGUCACUCUGGUAUUUUCUUUUAUUUAUCAGCCGCUGCGGAAACCAUCUCAUUCCUGAACUGUCUCAGAGUUUCUAAGUUUAGCCCUACAUCACCUCACUACAAGGUCACACCUCAGCAGCAGCAGCAGCAGCACCUCAGCUCCUCUCUGGAACAGAAACAGAUCAAAGUUCUCCUCCCUCUCCUGCUUUCUCUCUCUCUCUCUCUCUCUCCCCCUUUCUCCUUGUCUUCCUCAAUGCUUCAUUGACUCUACCCCUAAGCAUAACAUACACUGAUGGCACCCAGUGGAUCUCCAGCAUGCAGCUGGAAAAGCCUUGACAGAAAAGGAGUGAGAGAGUGUUUAAGACAGAGACAGAGAACUUCCAUGCUCAUGCCUUACUGGUUAUAAUCCAGAGGUGUUCAUAUCACUAAAGGAGGAAUGUUGGGUUUUUUGGCUGCUCCAAAUAUCUCAUGCAGGUAAUGUCCGGCUUCAAAUACAGGGACCCACAUACCUAAUAAUCACUUCAAGAUAUUUAUCACAGCAGCUACGCCAAACCAUCUAUGAAAGUGGACAAACCACUUAAGCAGAAGCUUCUAAGUUCAUUCUGUCAUCCUGUAAACAAAUGUAACAAUAUCCUUCAAAGUGUAGACUCAUUGUUACGGUCACUGCCAAGAGCACUAACAGUAAAUCAAAGCUUUUACUCUGUGGCUCAGCUCUCUCUUUAUCACCUUGCUGCAAAAUGACUCUUACAUUACUGCAGCAGCUGCCGCUAAGCAGCAGUCAAUCACAUAGUUGCUUUUACCAUCACUCAUAAAAAAAGCUCUGCCUUUACAUGCUGUCACAGGUACUAGAAACACCACAUGCAGACACAGACUUUGAAAAUGAACAUCUGCCAGGGCCGAUAGGAAGAGCGCGCACUUCCACGCUGAUCUGCAUAUUUCAGUGCUAACACGCUAACACCUGUGCACCAAACAUUGUCCGUGUGCUUUCAGAAUUUUGCAGUUGUGGUGAUAACUGAAUCAACAACAACUUACUGAGCAUGUUUUAUUUCAACUGAUAAAGGAUUGACUGUGUCUAAAAAAAAACAAAAAAAAAACAAUGGUUUGGAGUGCAAAGACACUUGAUGCAAGCAUUUCAUGAUAAAAACUAUGAAAUAAAGAGUUUUAAAUCUGCACUCGGGAUAUGUUAAAAGCUGAAAUUCAAGAUAAGUUCAAAUUUAUGUAAAUUUAAGUGGGUGCCUUACUGUCUUCAUGAUUUUGAACUUUGAACUCAUGGAAACAGCUUCAAAACUUAAUAUGUCUGACUAACUUUACCACCUUUGCCCUUCCUGAACUUAAUUCAUCAAUUUCUUGGCCAAACCACCAACCUGCCUUCUAGACCCAAUACCAGCAGAGCUGCUGAGGGAAAUCCUUCCCUUAGUUAGCUCUGUGUCUUUAUUGGCAGGCUAUGUACCACUGUCAUCAAACAGUAUCAGUCUGCAUAUCACGAAUUUAAAAUUUGCAUAUCUAGUUGACGUUUAUUACCUAUAUAGACCUUUCUGGAAAUCUCUGAGCUCCCUUGUUUUGUGGGUUCUUUAUAUGGACCUGCCUGACUCCAGCUGCUACAUUAAUAUCAGCCUUACUGUUAUAAUCACUGUAAAAAUGCUUAUUUCAAUUUUAGAAAAGCUUGACCGCUACAAUCGAUGUAUUCCUAUUAUCAUUAUUAGUAUUCUGAUAUCAGAGCAGUUCACUUUAACUUCCUUAAAUAUUAAGUACUAUAUAAAUGAAGAGCACUGAUUGGUUGAUAUACUUGUGAUUAAACCUAAGACUAGAAUUUUUUAUAUAUAUUUUUGUAAAUAAAAGCAGAAGUAUUAGAAAAACAGAGCUAAGAUUUGGCCACAAUAGAUAAACUUUUCAAGUGAAGAUAAUGGAUGACUGGUGGUUUGAAAUGUGAGUUUAUGGCAAUGUGUGUUUAAAUUUUUUUUUUUAUUAUAGAAUAAAGUGCAUAAUUGUAGUUUCUCACUGCGAUAAAGAGGUUAUUGCAGUAUAAUUGCCACUCAUGUGAAUUAAUUUAAAAUCUGCUUUCACUCCUCUGGCCCCCAGCCCCUCUUUUUUAGGGCAGAGCAGCUGCACAUCGCAAAGAAACCUGAGAAACCAGAUUGCUCCAACCUGGGGGUGGAGGGUGAGGCUGAGUACACAGGACAAUGAGUGUGUGUUUUGCACGAGAAAGGGUCAGGGG